UCCCUGGUGGUUCAGUAGUUAGCACUCGGCACUUUUGCUGCUGCGGAUCCAGGUUCAAUCCCUGGUUGGGGAA
This 73-nucleotide transfer RNA is filed under the name Bos taurus (domestic cattle). It matches the Rfam family "tRNA". From Rfam's summary of the family: Transfer RNA (tRNA) molecules are approximately 80 nucleotides in length. Their secondary structure includes four short double-helical elements and three loops (D, anti-codon, and T loops). The record is from Rfam by way of RNAcentral. RNAcentral also lists the same sequence under 3 other names. Lineage: Eukaryota; Metazoa; Chordata; Mammalia; Artiodactyla; Bovidae.